AGUGAACGCUGGCGGUAGGCCUAACACAUGCAAGUCGAACGGCAGCACAGAGGAGCUUGCUCCUUGGGUGGCGAGUGGCGGACGGGUGAGGAAUACAUCGGAAUCUACUCUGUCGUGGGGGAUAACGUAGGGAAACUUACGCUAAUACCGCAUACGACCUACGGGUGAAAGCAGGGGAUCUUCGGACCUUGCGCGAUUGAAUGAGCCGAUGUCGGAUUAGCUAGUUGGCGGGGUAAAGGCCCACCAAGGCGACGAUCCGUAGCUGGUCUGAGAGGAUGAUCAGCCACACUGGAACUGAGACACGGUCCAGACUCCUACGGGAGGCAGCAGUGGGGAAUAUUGGACAAUGGGCGCAAGCCUGAUCCAGCCAUACCGCGUGGGUGAAGAAGGCCUUCGGGUUGUAAAGCCCUUUUGUUGGGAAAGAAAUCCAUCUGGUUAUUACCCGGGUGGGAUGACGGUACCCAAAGAAUAAGCACCGGCUAACUUCGUGCCAGCCGCCGCCGUAA
This 506-nucleotide ribosomal RNA is filed under the name uncultured bacterium. RNAcentral describes it as "partial 16S ribosomal RNA". It matches the Rfam family "Bacterial small subunit ribosomal RNA", at positions 29 to 523 of the family's 1533-position model. The record is from RNAcentral.